AUGCUGGAAUUGCUGAAGCUUCACUGUUCUGUGAUAGUUAGCAUCUUGUCUUUAGCUACAAACAGUUCCAUUCCCAUCAUAUGGCAGCAGAGAUGUUGUACCUUUAUUGGGCAGUACUGGACUCAAAGACAAAGCAGGAUCAUGAAGGGGAAUGAACCUCUACCCUCAAAAUGAGCACGGUCCCACUAUUGCCUUCUGGUACCAGGCCUAAUGCUGUGAUGUUCUCCUUCCAUGGUGUGUGUUCUGCUCCAUGUUCACAUCAGCAUUGGCCAGCUGUCAGACACAGAGCACCUGAAGAAGACUGUCUUCUGCAAAGUGAGGUAUAAAUUUUGUGAAUAUUAGUCCUUAAAUGCAUUCUUGUUAAAUAAUAUCCCAUAAUGUCUGUGUGAAUAAUAAUUAAAAAACAAGCCAGGCAGAAAUUAUGAGAUUGUGUUAAAGCAAAAUAUCAUCCUUCCCUGGGCUGUUUUUGUCGUUAGCAGACUUAGCUGCAAAUUUACACAGUAAUACCACUACAUUUUCUAGUUGUAAAUCUUGACAGUGGGUACAGGGGAUUUUCAGAUCCUGAAGAGCCACAAGAGCUAAUUUUAAGGCCCAAGAAAUUUAUCCAAUCAGAUAUACAUCUGUGAAGAUACUUGUUGAGUGGGUAUUCUGUUUCUAUCGAUACUAGAAAGAAGUCGAGCAGAAUGUGGGUUUUUGUUUUUUUUUUUUUUCCUUCAAAACUCAUUAUUUGGGCCAGAAGCAAAAGAAGAAAAACUUUUUAAAGCGAAUAUUUUGAUCACAACAAUUCUUGCAAUGGCAGCUGCAAGUCACGGUUUGGUUGGCUGGGUUGGUCUGGAUUAAUGAAGUCUCUGUAUGCAGGACUCCUUUGUUCUCUGUACAAUCCAAAAAACAAAUCAGCUAGUGGUGUUUAUUGCUGAAUUUUUUUAAGUUUCUACAAAAACUAUCUCAAAACAUACAUACAAGAAAAAAACACAAUGAGACCUUUGGAGGAACAGGCAGAGAUUAAGUUGUUAGGUUUUCAUUGCUUGCCUGAAUAAUUUACACAGAAGUUAAGAGCACCUGAUUGUUGCUCAGCAACUUUGAAAAUACAGCAGUUAAUUAGAUAUUUCUGCACGUGCUUAGAGAACUAAAUUUAGGCAGCCAUUUAUGAAAGACAUUUUUUCAUACUCUCUCCAGUUGAGCUUUCUGCAUUUUUGGAUGAUAAACUGCUAAUGUGCGAUGGUCUUUAUUGUGGGUGUUUUUCAACCUCUUGUUCAGAUACAAAAAGCUAGUUCAAAACAAUAGUUUUAGCUGCUGACUGAAGCCUUACAGAACCCCUCAAGAUAAAUACUAAGCUGUGUCUUUUGUGAACACACAUUUAUUUUCCUUCUUAAUUCUGAUAACAUUUAAAAAUCUCUUCUUAGAGUUUCAGCAGAAGCUUGGAAAUGCAAUGGUAGAUGAAAUCAAACAAACUAUAACAUGGAAAACAGAAUGAACAUGUUGUUUCCAGCAGUUUUGUGAUUCUUAUGUCCUGGAAUAAAUCCUCAUAUUCAUAACA
RNAcentral lists this long non-coding RNA (1537 nucleotides) under Anser brachyrhynchus (Pink-footed goose). Its description in RNAcentral is "lncRNA (ENSABRG00000004461.1)". Lineage: Eukaryota; Metazoa; Chordata; Aves; Anseriformes; Anatidae. The record is from RNAcentral.